CCGUCAGUCGCCGCCGCGGCCGGAUCUCUUCCGCUGACCGCCGCUGUACAGCGGAGUGUUUCCGGAAGCCGUCGGCACCAUGGGGGAGGAGGUGGCGCGCCGCGGCAGCGGCUCAUCCUCGGCCGGCGACGGCCACGUCAAGCUGAAGAAGGAGCUGGGCCUCCUGGAGGGCGUGGCUGUCAUCCUCGGCAUCAUCAUCGGCUCAGGCAUCUUCAUCUCGCCGAAGGGCGUGCUGGUCGAGUGCGGCUCGGUGGGCAUGUCGCUGGUGGUCUGGAGCCUGUGCGGCCUGCUCUCCAUGAUCGGCGCGCUCUGUUACGCCGAGCUCGGCACCACCAUCCCCAAGUCGGGCGGCGACUACGCCUACAUACUGGAGGCGUUCGGACCGCUGCCGGCCUUUCUCUUCCUCUGGGACGCCAACCUCAUCUUCGUCCCAACAACCAACGCCAUCAUGGGCCUGACGUUCGGAAACUACGUACUCCAGCCCUUCUUCCCUAAUUGUGACAUCAACUCCUACGCAGUCCGCCUGCUGGCCGCUGCUGCCAUCUGCAUUCUAACCUUCAUCAACUGCUACAAUGUCAAGGUGACGACGCGGCUGCAGAACCUGUUCAUGGUCACCAAGCUGCUGGCCCUGGUCCUUGUCAUCGUGGUCGGCCUGGUGGUGCUCUGCAUGGGCAACGGCCAGAGCUUCAGCAACGCGUUCGACGGCAUGUCGACGGACCCGGGCCAGAUCGCCGUCUCGUUCUAUUCGGGAAUCUUCUCCUACGCCGGCUGGAACUACUUAAACUUCAUGACGGAGGAGCUGAAGGACCCGUAUCGGAACCUGCCGCGCUCCAUCUACCUGAGUCUGCCGCUGGUCACCUGCAUCUACGUGCUUGCCAAUGUCGCCUAUCUGGUCGUGCUCUCGCCGUACGAGAUGCUGGCUUCGGACGCGAUCGCCGUGACGUUCGCGAACAAGACGCUGGGUGUGAUGGCCUGGGUCAUGCCGCUGUUCGUGGCCUUCUCGGCCUUCGGCGGACUCAGCGUGCACAUCAUGACGUCAUCGAGGCUAUGUUUCGUUGGUGCUCGGAAUGGCCAUUUUCCUGGUGCCCUGGCUCUGAUCAGCCAGAAGUACAUCACGCCCACCCCGUCGCUGGUGUUCCUCGCUUUGCUUCAUCGGCGCGCGUCACGGCCACUUCCCGUUGGCGCUGUGCGGCGUUCAGAUGCGCCACUUCACGCCAGCGCCGGCACUCGUCUACCUCGGUCUUCUGUCGCUGGUGUACCUGUGCACCAGCGACAUUUUCGCCCUGAUUAACUACGCCAGCUUCAUCGAGUCUUCGUUCAUCCUCUGCUCGAUAUCCGGCCUGCUGUACCUCCGCUGGAAAGAGCCUGCCAGGGAGCGACCUAUCAGAGUGAACAUCGUGAUACCGAUCUUAUUCCUGAUGAUCUGCGGCUUUCUCGUGUUCAUGCCGCUCUACGUCAAACCGAUCGAGGUCGGCAUGGGCAUCCUCAUCACCUUCACGGGGGUGCCCGCCU
RNAcentral lists this unclassified non-coding RNA (1512 nucleotides) under Pollicipes pollicipes. RNAcentral's name for it is "y+L amino acid transporter 2-like, transcript variant X1". The record is from RNAcentral. Lineage: Eukaryota; Metazoa; Arthropoda; Thecostraca; Pollicipedomorpha; Pollicipedidae.